This 1299-nucleotide long non-coding RNA is filed under the name Solanum tuberosum (potato). Its description in RNAcentral is "long non-coding RNA (STUB_LNC011477)". The record is from RNAcentral. Lineage: Eukaryota; Viridiplantae; Streptophyta; Magnoliopsida; Solanales; Solanaceae.
CACUACCCCGGAUUGUGGCCAAGCUCCGACAACCCAAAACCCCAUUCAUUUUUCUCCUUUUUCCGGCUAAAUCCCACUAGCUCCGCCUUCAUUCCUCACAUUUUCCGACCACCACCCCAAACAGACCCCACCUUCCCCUGUUCUCCUCCUCACUGUUCCGACCAAAAACACAACCCCAAACCAACUAAAACCAUCGGAAAACGACCACUAGUGAGCUUCCACAACCGGAAUCAACUUCCAAAAAUUAACUCCGAACCACCAGAUCUCCACCCACCGCUAGACCUUUUCACUUUCUCCAUCUCCGACAAGCCUGCGAGCUUCAAGCUCCAAUGAAGAACAACUAACAUACCCAAAUAACUGCCAAAACGCCUCCAGACCGACCAGAAACAGCCAGCCAAACCACCUCACUGCCUUCUCUUUUCUCGAUCGAAACAUCUCCAAGCAGGAGCCAACAACGAACAACAACCAGAACCCCACUCCGUUCCCCGCAUUUUCCAGCGAAUACCAACCCAAAACGGACCUAUUUUGCUCUUCUUCUCCAACCAUUUUCCUCACCAACACCACUACAAAACUCCUCCAUUCUCCUUCUCAUUGACCAGUAAUCGCCGUCCGACAAACAAAUCUAAAAAACAUCACUAAACCUCCAUCUCAAACCAACAAAAGACCCACAAAGCGACCAACAGCUCCAAACGACUCCAUUUCCCCUAUUUUCCGCAACACUUCAACAAUAAUGGAGGCAGCGAGAUUCGAGCUCUGAUCUCCAUCUCCGGUGAGCUCCAAGCUUGCCAAACACCACUAUAGGCUCCACCGGAAACAACUUCGAUCGGUUUCACACGAGCUACGAGCUUCCAAGUUCCGGUAACAGAUGCAAACAACGCACCCUCAUUUCUACUAGAUCUGGCCGAGUUUUGCCGGCGAAUAGCAACCAAACAUGCCAACAACAACGAGCUCCGAACUAGUAACACAAAUCUCUCUUCUCCUUAUUUCUAUAUUAUGCCAUUGUUGUUAUUGUUGUUCAUAGAUCUUCUGGGUCUGUUUGACUCUGUCACUGUGACUCUUCUGUUUAAUUAAUUAUUUAUUGUUAUUGUUUAAAUAUUAUUAUCUAUCUCUUUUAUUCUUUGUUUGUUAUGAUUUUUAUUUAUAAUUUGCAAUGGGUUGGUAACGGAUAGCUUUAUUUGAGUUAAAUUUAUUCUAAAUGUUGCUUAAUACUAGUGUUGUUUUGCUAUUAUCCUUAACUGUUGUUGCUAUUUGGCAUUUUAAUUUCUAAAUAUGUUAUGUUUUGUGAAGUUUAUUUAGUUU